This 713-nucleotide long non-coding RNA is filed under the name Salmo salar (Atlantic salmon). Its description in RNAcentral is "lncRNA (ENSSSAG00000093785.1)". The record is from RNAcentral. Lineage: Eukaryota; Metazoa; Chordata; Actinopteri; Salmoniformes; Salmonidae.
AGAGUCAAUGUGGAGGAUAUAUACAGGGGGUACCGGUACAGAGUCAAUGUGGAGACUAUAUACAGGGGGUACCGGUACAGAGUCAAUGUGGAGGCUUUAUACAGGGGGUACCGUACAGAGUCAAUGUGGAGGCUUUAUACAGGGGGUACCGUACAGAGUCAAUGUGGAGGCUAUAUACAGGGUAUUACGGUACAGAGUCAAUGUGGAGGCUAUAUACAGGGUAUUACGGUACAGAGUCAAUGUGGAGGCUAUAUACAGGGGGUACCGGUACAGAGUCAAUGUGGAGGCUAUAUACAGGGGGUACCGGUACAGAGUCAAUGUGGAGGCUAUAUACAGGGGGUACCGGUACAGAGUCAAUGUGGAGGCUAUAUACAGGGGGUACCGGUACAGAGUCAAUGUGGAGGCUAUAUACAGGGUAUUACGGUACAGAGUCAAUGUGGAGGCUAUAUACAGGGGGUACCGGUACAGAGUCAAUGUGGAGGCUAUAUACAGGGUAUUACGGUACAGAGUCAAUGUGGAGGCUAUAUACAGGGUAUUACGGUACAGAGUCAAUGUGGAGGCUAUAUACAGGGGGUACCGGUACAGAGUCAAUGUGGAGGCUAUAUACAGGGGUACCGGUACAGAGUCAAUGUGGAGGCUAUAUACAGGGGGUACCGGUACUGAGUCAAUGUGGAGGCUAUAUACAGGGUGUACCGGUACAGAGUCAAUGUGGA